This is a long non-coding RNA of Dreissena polymorpha, 438 nucleotides long. RefSeq lists it as uncharacterized. The transcript is spliced from 2 exons. The record is from RefSeq and is a predicted model, not a curated record. NCBI's taxonomy places the organism in Eukaryota, Metazoa, Mollusca, Bivalvia, Myida, Dreissenidae.
UUAUUAACCAGGUUUUCCGAAGGAAAAAACUGGUUAUUAGAUUGGCGAAUGCGGGCGGGCUGGCUGGCUGGCUGGCGGGCUGGCUGGCGGGCUGGCGGAAUAAGCUUGUCCGGGCCAUAACUAUGUCGUUCAUUGUCAGAUUUUAAAAUCAUUUGGCACAUUUGUUCACCAUCAUUGGACGGUGUGUCGCGCGAAAUAAUUACGUCGAUAUCUCCAAGGUCAAGGUCACACUUUGAGUUCAAAGGUCAAAAAUGGCCAUAAAUGAGCUUGUCCUGGCCAUAACUAUGUCAUUCAUUGUGAGAUUUUAAAAUCAUUUGGCACAUUUGUUCACCAUCAUGGGACGGUGUGUCCCACGAAAGAAUCACGUCAAUAUCUCCAAUGUCAAGGUCGCCACGACUAAAAAUAGAUUUAAAAAAAAAAAAAAACUUACAAAGAGGG